GACGUAGGGCGCGAGCGUUGUCCGGAUUUAUUGGGCGUAAAGAGCUCGUAGGCGGCUUGUUGCGUCGGCUGUGAAAACCCGUGGCUUAACUGCGGGCUUGCAGCUGAUACGGGCGGGCUGGAGUUCGGUAGGGGAGACUGGAAUUCCUGGUGUAGCGGUGAAAUGCGCAGAUAUCAGGAAGAACACCCGUGGCGAAGGCGGUUCUCUGGGACGGUACUGACGCUGAGACGCGAAAGCGUGGGGAGCGAACAGG
This 253-nucleotide ribosomal RNA is filed under the name uncultured bacterium. Its description in RNAcentral is "partial 16S ribosomal RNA". It matches the Rfam family "Bacterial small subunit ribosomal RNA", at positions 524 to 776 of the family's 1533-position model. The record is from RNAcentral.